Dromaius novaehollandiae (emu) is the source of this 236-nucleotide long non-coding RNA. RefSeq lists it as uncharacterized. The record is from RefSeq and is a predicted model, not a curated record. The transcript is spliced from 4 exons. Lineage: Eukaryota; Metazoa; Chordata; Aves; Casuariiformes; Dromaiidae.
CAGAAACCCACGGAGGGGCUGAAGUUGUGUCCUGGGUGCAGCAAGAUGCUGCGCUGACGGUGAUGUCCAGGUUUGGCUUUUCAUCCAGCUCCGAGGAGGACUCAUCUAAUCCCGAUGUUUCCCUGGUGGCCCGACGCAGGGAGGAGGACAGCUGUGGCCGCUGUCAGAGGGACAAGUAUCUCCCAGAAGCGACUGUGCCAGAGAUCAUUUGAGAUGAGGGUGACAAGAAAGCCUAC